RNAcentral lists this long non-coding RNA (2916 nucleotides) under Pan troglodytes (chimpanzee). RNAcentral describes it as "long non-coding RNA NONPTRT006712". Lineage: Eukaryota; Metazoa; Chordata; Mammalia; Primates; Hominidae. The record is from RNAcentral.
GAGCCGAGAUCGCGCCACUGCACUCCAGCCUGGGCGACAGAGCGAGACUCCGUCUUAAAAAAAAAACACAAAAACCUCAGCAGAAUGAAUAUCCAAUUAUGGAUAUACUGUAUCCCGGCAGCCUGCCUCCAGAACUCUGGGUGAACUCAGAUGAGCCUCCAGGACCGCCUGAGCAAGUUGGACUUUGUCAAUUCCAUCUAGAGCCCGAAACUCAAAAUCCAGAGACCCUUGAAGACAUCCAGUCCUCUUCGCUCCAGCAACAAGCCCCAGUGCAGCUUCCACAGCUCUCUGAGGAGGAACCUUCUCUAACCCAUCAGGAGGCCCCAGCUCUGCCUUCACAGUCUCUUCAGGGGGUCUACUCUUCUUCAACAGAGCAGGAGGCCCCAGGACAGCAGCGACCUGCCUCUGAAGAGUUUGUAGCUCCGCCAUUGAUACACCACGAGGUAAAUGUUCCAUUGAAAAGUUGGAGUGAAGCUCAGCACUCAUGCCCGCCCAAUGUCACAGUCAAACCUGUGGAUAUGGAGCUUGCAGUAACUCUAGAGCCAGCAGGAGGCUGCAGCUGAGCGUCCACAGACCCCUAAGGAGGUUGAGUCUUCUCUAAUCCAGUAGGAGGCCCCAGCUCAGACUCCAGAGCUCCCUAAUGAAGUUGUAGCUCAACCUCCAGAGCAUCAUGAGGUAACAGUUUCCCCUCUAAGUCAUGAUCAAGUUUAGCCUCCAACAUUGCACAAUGCCACUGUUAAACCUGUGGAUCACGUGGUUACCAUGACUCCAGAUAUCACUAAUCAGGUUGAAAUUUUAACCCAACAGGGGGCCCCAGCUCAGCCCUUAAUGUCUCCUGAGCAGUUUCAACAUUUGAAAUACCAGCAAGAGAUUAUAAUUCAGCAGCUAAAUACCCCUGAAAAUGAUGAACUUACUCCAGUCCAUCAAGAGCCCACAACUCAGUCUCCAACUCAGCUCUCCUCAGACUUUGAAAGUUCAUUGAAUGAUGAGAUGAUACUUUCACUUCUAGAUCUGUCUUCAGUAUUCAGAAGUAAUUCAACUUUGCCUAAUACCACAGUUAAAAAUGUGGAUAUGGAGCUUACCAUACCUGCAGCGUCACUAUGGAAGUUGAACCUUCUCCAGUCCAGCAGGACAACCCUUCUAUUCCCACUGAGCAGGCUGACUUUUCUCUAGCCCAGCCUGAUCUCCCUUCCCCACCUCUGCAUUCUCCUGAAAAGGUUAAAUCUCCAGUCCAGCAAGAGGCCACAGCUCAGACUUCAGAUUCCCCUAAGGAGGUAGAACCUUCUCCAGUCCAGCAAGAGUUUCCAGCUGAGCCACCAGAGCCCCCUAAGGAGGUUGAACCAUCUGCAACCCAGCAGGAAGCCUCAGGUCAUCCUCCAAAGUCCACUGAAGAGGUCAGUCCUCCACUGCAGCAGGAGAUACCAGCUCAGCCAUCAGAGCCACCUGAGAAGGUCGAACCAUCUCCAGUCCUAUAGCAGGCCCCAACUCAGCUUUUAGAGCCCCUUAAAGAGGUAGAAUCCUCUCCAGUCCAGCAGGCAGUCCCUGCUCAGUCUUCAGACCCCCACUAUGGUGAUAGAACCUUCUCUGACCCAGCAGAUGGCCCCAUCUUUGCCUCCAGAGUUCCCUCAGGAGGUAGAACCAUCUCUAACUCAGCAGGAGGUUCCAGCUCAGAUUCCAGAGCCCCCUAUGGAGGCAGAACCUUCUCCAACCCAGCAGGAGACCACAGUUCAGACUCCAGAGCCCCCUAAGGAGGUAGAACCUUCAAGCCAGCAGAUGGUCCCAUCUCAGCCUCCAGAGCCACCUAAGGAGGUUGCAGCUCAACCUCCAGCUCAUUAUGAGGUGACAGUUCCAACACAAGGUCAGGAUCAAGCUCAGCAUUCAAUAUUGCCCAGUAUCACAGUUCAACCUUUGGACCUGGGACUUACCAUCACUCCAGAAUCCACUACGGAGGUUGAACUUUCUCCAAUCGUCCAGGAGACCCCAACUCAGCCUCCUAAGAAAGUUGUAGCACAACUUCCAGUAUAUCAAGAGGUAACAGUUCCAACACCAGGUCAGGAUCAAGCUCAGCAUCCAAUGUCACCCAGCAUUACAGUUCAACCUUUGGACUGGGACUUACCAUCACUCCAGAACCCACUACGGAGGUUGGACAUUCUAUACCCCUGAAGAAGACUCUAGUUCCUCCAAAGCACCCUAAGGUGACACUUCCACAUCCAGACCAGGUUCAGAUCCAGCAUUCAAACCUGACUCAAGUCACAGUUGAACCUCUGGACCUGGAGCGUACCAUAACUACAGAACCUACUACAGAGGUUAAACUGUCUCCAACCACAGAGGAGACCUCAACUCAGCCUCCAGACCCAGGACUUGCCAUAACUCCAGAACCCACUACAGAGAUUGGACAUUCUACAGCCCUGGAGAAAACUACAGCUCCUCAUCCAGAUCAGCUUCAGACUCUGCAUCGAAAACUGACUGAAGUCACAGGUCCACCUACUGAGCUAGAACCUACUCAGGAUUCAUUGGUGCAGUCUGAAAGUUACAUCCAAGAUAAGGCUUUAACUGCACCAGAGGAACAGAAGGCCUCCACAAGCACCAACAUAUGUGAGCUCUGUACCUGCGGAGAUGAGAUGUUGUCAUGUAUUGAUCUCAACCCAGAGCAGAGGCUCCGCCAAGUGCCUGUGCCAGAGCCCAACACCCACAAUGGCACCUUCACCAUCUUGUAAGAAUCACCUUUCCUCAAUUGUCCUCUGUGUCCUGCCUGACAUGGCAGCCUUUUCCUGGAGGCCUUCCUGGGCCACCUUUAUCUCCCAAAGCCAUAGGGACAACUGACUUUCUGCUUUCACCUUUGCUUGUCAACUCUUCCUUCUCCUCAUUCUCUUUUACUGUUAGGCCCCUUCUCCACUCUUUUACUUGUGAUUGCUC